RNAcentral lists this microRNA (21 nucleotides) under Human alphaherpesvirus 1 (Herpes simplex virus type 1). Its description in RNAcentral is "hsv1-miR-H7-3p". Its record names the gene hsv1-miR-H7-3p. The record is from miRBase by way of RNAcentral. Lineage: Duplodnaviria; Heunggongvirae; Peploviricota; Herviviricetes; Herpesvirales; Orthoherpesviridae.
UUUGGAUCCCGACCCCUCUUC